Molecule: ribosomal RNA, 491 nt
Filed under: uncultured bacterium
Lineage: Bacteria
Description: bacterial SSU rRNA
Rfam family: Bacterial small subunit ribosomal RNA
Source: RNAcentral
GAUCCUGGCUCAGAUUGAACGCUGGCGGCAUGCCUUACACAUGCAAGUCGAACGGCAGCACGGGAGCAAUCCUGGUGGCGAGUGGCGAACGGGUGAGUAAUAUAUCGGAACGUGCCCAGUCGUGGGGGAUAACGUAGCGAAAGCUACGCUAAUACCGCAUACGAUCUACGGAUGAAAGCGGGGGAUCGCAAGACCCCGCGCGAUUGGAGCGGCCGAUAUCAGAUUAGGUAGUUGGUGGGGUAAAGGCUCACCAAGCCAACGAUCUGUAGCUGUUCUGAGAGGAAGAACAGUCACACUGGGACUGAGACACGGCCCAGACUCCUACGGGAGGCAGCAGUGGGGAAUUUUGGACAAUGGGGGCAACCUGAUCCAGCUAUGCCGCGUGAGUGAAGAAGGCCUUCGGGUUGUAAAGCUCUUUGUCAGGAAAGAAAUGUUGCCGGUAAUGCGGUAACUUGACGGUACCUGAAGAAUAAGCACCGGCUAACUCUGUG